This 484-nucleotide ribosomal RNA is filed under the name uncultured bacterium. RNAcentral's name for it is "partial 16S ribosomal RNA". It matches the Rfam family "Bacterial small subunit ribosomal RNA", at positions 30 to 507 of the family's 1533-position model. The record is from RNAcentral.
AUUGAACGCUGGCGGCAGGCCUAACACAUGCAAGUCGAGCGGAUGAAGGGAGCUUGCUCCUGGAUUCAGCGGCGGACGGGUGAGUAAUGCCUAGGAAUCUGCCUGGUAGUGGGGGAUAACGUCCGGAAACGGGCGCUAAUACCGCAUACGUCCUGAGGGAGAAAGUGGGGGAUCUUCGGACCUCACGCUAUCAGAUGAGCCUAGGUUGGAUUAGCUAGUUGGUGGGGUAAAGGCCUACCAAGGCGACGAUCCGUAACUGGUCUGAGAGGAUGAUCAGUCACACUGGAACUGAGACACGGUCCAGACUCCUACGGGAGGCAGCAGUGGGGAAUAUUGGACAAUGGGCGAAAGCCUGAUCCAGCCAUGCCGCGUGUGUGAAGAAGGUCUUCGGAUUGUAAAGCACUUUAAGUUGGGAGGAAGGGCAGUAAGUUAAUACCCUGCUGUUUUGACGUUACCAACAGAAUAAGCACCGGCUAACUUCGUG